CCGAUCCUUUUUCUCACACUCCAUGUGACUGUCUUCUCCAAUCGUCGUUUUCGCGGAAACUCCAUGUUCUAUUAAUUGUGUCGUUUUGUAAAUUUAUUAGACCAUGUGUAGUGGAAUAACUAAAAAGUGUCAUAACUACUGCUAUAUUAAAAGAAUGCCUAUAUUCGUCCAAAAACUUUUUCCGAUCCUUUUUCUCAAACUCCAUGUGACUGUCUUCUACAAUCGUUUUCGCGGAAACUACAUAUGACUGUCUUCUAUUAAUUGUGUCGGGUUUGUAAAUUUAUUAGACCAUGUGUAGUGGAAUAACUAAAAAGUGCGAUAACUAUUGCUAUAUUAAAAGAAUGCCUAUAUUCAAAUGUUUAGUUUUGUUUCUUGAUGUUUUAGCUUCCAACAUCCGUCACUAGGCAGUGAGGGUGUCGUUGGUCAUGGUAGUUGUAAGCGCAGCGGUGCAAUGAUGACGAGAAGCACAAGAUUGAAUUCCUUCAGUAAUUCGAGCAAAGCAAGCUAGAACUCGAGACCACAGGUCAUGUAAUACCCUCAUGUGCAGUGACAAACGAGACGUGAAACAUUUGGUGUGAAAUCCCACACAGUGGCGAAGCUUGAAAAUUUCCACCGGGGGGUCGGAAGUCACCGAAACUAAAAGUAUAUACCUAUUUUUUUUAUAAAACCGGGGAGUCGAAAACGUAUAUAUACCUAAAAAAUUCUAUACGAAACGUACAUACAUAACACUACUGAGUGAAAAGUUCGGAGGGUAGCCCCCCCCCCCCCCCCCCCCCCCCCCCGCGCCCCCUUCAAUGCUUCGCCCCUGAUCCCACAGUCGACAUUUUGUUCCAAGUAAACGUAAAGUCCUUCGAAUUUAAGAGGGCGAGGGGGUAGUGCCAUAAAAGUGAAAACCGAAAAACUGAUGACAAUGAGUAAGGGAAGAUGGCAAAAUA
This 935-nucleotide long non-coding RNA is filed under the name Helianthus annuus (common sunflower). RNAcentral's name for it is "hypothetical non coding rna". Lineage: Eukaryota; Viridiplantae; Streptophyta; Magnoliopsida; Asterales; Asteraceae. The record is from RNAcentral.